AGAGAUUAAGGCGAGGUUGUGGGCUUGGUGUUCGUAUUCGAACCAAACAACGCAGGAACAAGAGUUUCGAGGUUGGUUCUCGGCUGUUAGAGGUUUGUGAUUUUUAAGAUUGGGUUGCAGAUGACGUUCCUACUCAAGUUCUUCUUCUGUUUUUCUGUUAUUGUUUUUACAGUGUCUUGGAGAUUGGGUAGUCUGUUAUCCGGGGUUGCUCUGGUGUUGUUUAUAUGAGGAUGAUGGCUUUCUUUUUCGCCUAAUCCGAUGUAUGUUAGUUUUUCGAUUUUGUAAACUUGGUACCUCUGGUACCUUGUGGUUCGACCUGAUAGUUUCUUAAUGGAAUCUCUUUUCUCCGAU
RNAcentral lists this long non-coding RNA (351 nucleotides) under Salvia miltiorrhiza (redroot sage). Its description in RNAcentral is "long non-coding RNA (SMIL_LNC003357)". Lineage: Eukaryota; Viridiplantae; Streptophyta; Magnoliopsida; Lamiales; Lamiaceae. The record is from RNAcentral.